Molecule: long non-coding RNA, 634 nt
Filed under: Phoenix dactylifera (date palm)
Lineage: Eukaryota; Viridiplantae; Streptophyta; Magnoliopsida; Arecales; Arecaceae
Description: long non-coding RNA (PDAC_LNC019692)
Source: RNAcentral
UAAAAUUUGUGCCAUAUAUGACAACUGGAUCCAAGUUUUUAUUGUGAUGUGAUGCUUUUGCUGAUGUAGCUUCUGAAGUUGCAAGGGAUCUCGGACUCGGACAUGGAUUAGGGUAUAUGCCUGAGCCAAGGUCAGGUUCUGCUGUUCUUGUUGAAUCGAUGUUGUUAUUGCGAACUGGAUCUAUUUUAUUGUCAUCAAAUGACUCCUUAUCUGAUGGCAUGGUAUUCAUCUGAAUUUUCAUAUGUAUGAGAAUGACAUUAGUGAUGUACGAUUAACACCUCCCUUCUUCUCUAAGAGAGAGAGAAUGACAUUAAUAAUGGAUGCACAUCUAGAAUGUACAAUUUGCCAAAGCAUGCAAUUCCGUUAUGGAGAAAAGAACUAAAUACGAGUUACAUUUCGUAUACAGAAUGCGAAAGAGCUAACAAUUUACUAAGCAUGCAAGCGUGCAAUCAAAAAAGAACCAGAAUAACCUAAACAAACACAAAACAUCAAUGUUACAAGCUCAGGUAGGAGGACGGGCUCGAAAUCAUCGGUUAUGCGGUCGUAGAUCCCGUGCUGCUGCAUGAGAUGGGCGCAUAGAAUGAAGAAGCAAGAGGGCCCAUGAAAGAUGAGCCGUGGCAUCCCAAGCUCGCGA